GACGAACGCUGGCGGCGUGCCUAAUACAUGCAAGUAGGACGCUGAAGGCGGAGCUUGCUUCUCUGGAUGAGUUGCGAACGGGUGAGUAACGCGUAGGUAACCUGCCCGGUAGCGGGGGAUAACUAUUGGAAACGAUAGCUAAUACCGCAUAAUAGUAGAUGUUGCAUGACAUUUGCUGAAAAGGUGCAAUUGCAUCACUACCAGAUGGACCUGCGUUGUUUUAGCUAGUUGGUGGGGUAUCGGCUCGCCAAGGCGACGAUACAUAGCAGAACUGAGAGGGUGGGCGGCCACACUGGGACGGGGACACGCCCCAGACGCCUUCGGGAAGGGGCCAUAGGGAAUCGUGAGCAAGGGGCGGGAGACUGACCAAACAACGCCGCAGGAGUAAGGAGGGUUUCCGGGUCGUAAAGCUCUGUUUUAAGGGAGGAACGAGUGUGAGAGUGGAAAGUUCACUCAGUGACGGUAACUGACCAAGAAGCAACGGCUAACUACGUG
This 495-nucleotide ribosomal RNA is filed under the name uncultured bacterium. RNAcentral's name for it is "partial 16S ribosomal RNA". It matches the Rfam family "Bacterial small subunit ribosomal RNA", at positions 28 to 507 of the family's 1533-position model. The record is from RNAcentral.